Molecule: non-coding RNA, 933 nt
Filed under: Excidobates mysteriosus (maranon poison frog)
Lineage: Eukaryota; Metazoa; Chordata; Amphibia; Anura; Dendrobatidae
Description: partial 12S ribosomal RNA
Rfam family: Bacterial small subunit ribosomal RNA
Source: RNAcentral
GUUUGGUCCCAGCCUUGAAAUCAGUUUUUACUUAAUAUACACAUGCAAGUCUCCGCACCCCAGUGAGAACGCCCUUAAUUUCCCCAAUUGGAAACAGGAGCUGGUAUCAGGCCCAUUCAGCCCACAACACCUAGUCUCGCCACACCCCCAAGGGUCUUCAGCAGUGAUAAACAUUGAGUAUAAGCGACAGCUUGACUCAGUUAAACUAUUUAGAGCCGGCUAAUCUGGUGCCAGCCGCCGCGGUUACACCACUGUGGCUCAAAUUGAUUUCUAUCGGCGUAAAGCGUGAUUAAAGAGCCCAUAUAUACCUGGAAUCCAACUAAAACUAAGCUGUGACACGCUUGUUACCCGAGAAGCCCCCAAACGAAAGUUAUUCCAAUUUUAUCUACUUGAAUUCACGUCAACUGAGGUACAAACUGGGAUUAGAUACCCCACUAUGCUCAGUCGUAAACUUUUAAUUACUCCACCCCCUCGCCUGGGAACUACGAGCCAAGCUUAAAACCCAAAGGACUUGACGGUACCCCAUAUCCACCUAGAGGAGCCUGUCCUAUAAUCGAUAACCCCCGUUUAACCUCACCAUUCCUAGUUUAUCAGCCUGUAUACCUCCGUCGUCAGCUUACCGCAUGAGCGUUAGUGUUAGUGGGCUCAAAGUUUUUUCAACUAUACGUCAGGUCAAGGUGCAACAUAUGGAAUGGAAAGAGAUGGGCUACACUUUCUACUAUUAGACCACACGAAAAACUACUUAUGAAACCUAGUUAGAAGGCGGAUUUAGAAGUAAAUAGGAACUAGAGAGUCCUUUUUAACCUGGCACUGGGGUGUGUACACACCGCCCGUCACCCUCCUCAAUGCUAUCACAAAGUCAUUAACACUUCACAGCUGCUCAGAAGAGGCAAGUCGUAACAUGGUAAGCGUACCGGAAGGUGUGCUUGGAAA